This 52-nucleotide small RNA is filed under the name Caenorhabditis elegans. RNAcentral describes it as "Unclassified non-coding RNA C27H6.11". Lineage: Eukaryota; Metazoa; Nematoda; Chromadorea; Rhabditida; Rhabditidae. The record is from RNAcentral.
AUGUAAAAGAAGAAGGUUGUAACAUGCAUGAGAUAUGGUGACAGAAGGGCAA